UGGCUCAAAAAAAUCGAAAUUUUUUUUAUUGCAUAAAUUUGUUAAUAAAACUAUUUAAGAAUAUGUAUUCAAAAUUUCACAGGAACAUUCCAAUUCGUUUUGAUGCUGUAAACGGUAAAGUGAACGCCACUUGGUUCAGUGCCGAAACGUGCGGCAGGUAAAACGGAACGGACGUUCAAGACAGUCGCUUUUGUAUUCACAUAUCUGCCUCAAUACUAAUAUGCUAUAGGAGAUUUAGAGGAAAGAGAGACGUCGACAGAUGUUCUUGUUUCGUUUUUUUUUCUCACAAUAGAGAUCUUAGAUAAAAGCUAUUGGAAACAUUGAGGAUGCAUUAGCAUCAUUUUGAUAGAACGUCGAUUAGCAUCAGUUUAGCUCCAAUCUUUAUAAUAUAUUUUGAAAGUUAAGACACAAAAUCCGUUAAGUGAAUGUGGUACUUCAAUUCGCAAAGGUAGACAACAUAAAAGAUCCUUUCACGGAUAUCAGUUCUCUAAAAGUGAAUCAAGUGAACGUGACAAAGAUGAAGAAAGUGCCAGCACAAAAAAAACUUUCAAUGAUAAUGAUGGCCUCCAGAAUAUACAGAGAUAACAAAGUUAUCAUUUGAUGGCGACCUUCGAUGGGCUUAUACAUUAAAUAUUUUCAAAGAAAAUAGAUUAAAAAAAUUAAAAGAUAUAUUUGAAUAUAUAAAUAAAAUAUUUUUCAAAUUCAAA
This is a long non-coding RNA of Vespa crabro (European hornet), 707 nucleotides long. RefSeq lists it as uncharacterized. The transcript has 2 exons. The record is from RefSeq and is a predicted model, not a curated record. Lineage: Eukaryota; Metazoa; Arthropoda; Insecta; Hymenoptera; Vespidae.